Molecule: long non-coding RNA, 305 nt
Organism: Canis lupus familiaris (dog)
Lineage: Eukaryota; Metazoa; Chordata; Mammalia; Carnivora; Canidae
Exons: 3
Source: RefSeq, a predicted model, not a curated record
ACAGGCAGAGGGAGAAUCAGGGAUCCUGAUAGAGGACUCGAUCCCGGGAUUCUGGGAUCACACCCUUAGCUGAAGGCAGACGCUCAACCACUGAGCCACCCAGGUGUCCCUGUAUGGGUGUCCUUAAAGAUUCUUCCAAAAAAGGAGUCAUCUGGGCCUGCCUUCCCAAGAGCGCUAGAUCAGAUUGUUUCAGAUCUUGAGUUUCCCAAUCCCAUGGUGAAGAUGAAGUGCUCCAAACUCAGAUUUCUGUGGAUUUGAGAAGAAGGAGGAGGAGAAGAAGAGGAGAAGAACAAGAAGAGGAGGAG